RNAcentral lists this ribosomal RNA (256 nucleotides) under uncultured bacterium. RNAcentral describes it as "partial 16S ribosomal RNA". It matches the Rfam family "Bacterial small subunit ribosomal RNA", at positions 524 to 777 of the family's 1533-position model. The record is from RNAcentral.
UACGUAGGGUGCAAGCGUUGUCCGGAAUUAUUGGGCGUAAAGAGCUCGUAGGCGGUUUGUCGCGUCUGCUGUGAAAUCCCGAGGCUCAACUUCGGGCUUGCAGUCGAUACGGGCAGGCUAGAGUUCGGUAGGGGAGACUGGAAUUCCUGGUGUAGCGGUGAAAUGCGUAGAUAUCGGGAGGAACACCAGUGGCGAAGGCGAUCACCUGGGGUUGUUCUGACGCUGAGGAGCGAAAAGCUAGGGGGAGCAAACGGGG